RNAcentral lists this long non-coding RNA (413 nucleotides) under Helianthus annuus (common sunflower). Its description in RNAcentral is "hypothetical non coding rna". Lineage: Eukaryota; Viridiplantae; Streptophyta; Magnoliopsida; Asterales; Asteraceae. The record is from RNAcentral.
GUGCAAACUUGCUCAUAUACUCAAAUGGAGGGCUCAACAAACGCUCUAGAAUGCAUCAAAUACUAAUGUAUCCAACUUUAUUUCGGUGAAACUCUCCGGCAAUCACAAUUACCUUCUUUGGAAAGCACAAAUGCUUUGCAUGUUGGAUAGUAACGAUAUGUGUGGUAUCGUGGAUGCCACAUAUGUUGUGCCAAGAGAUUAUGGUAGUGAGACCAUGAGAAAAAUAUGACAGUCUCGUCAAAGGAUGGAUAUUUGGUUCCGUUGGUGAAGAUGUACUUGUAGAUGUCUUCAAUCUCAGUUCGGCGAAAGAUGUUUGGGAAAAACUAAAAGCUAUCUACGAGCCUACUAUGUGUUGGAAAGAAGGAUAUACCCCCGCGAUCAAGGUAUGCACAAAGAUUCAUCGUAGUAGGUGA